Brachypodium distachyon (stiff brome) is the source of this 175-nucleotide non-coding RNA. NCBI's taxonomy places the organism in Eukaryota, Viridiplantae, Streptophyta, Magnoliopsida, Poales, Poaceae. The record is from Rfam.
UUUUUACUCCCUCCGUUCCAUAAUUCUUGUCUCAAAUUUGCCCAAAAAUAGAUGUACUCCCUCCUUUUCAUAAUUCUUGUCGAAAUCUUACAUGUAUCUAGACACCUUUUAGGAAUAGAUACAUCCAUUUUUGGGCAAAUUUGAGACAAGAAUUAUGGAACGAAGGGAGUAUAUU